RNAcentral lists this ribosomal RNA (371 nucleotides) under uncultured bacterium. RNAcentral describes it as "partial 16S ribosomal RNA". It matches the Rfam family "Bacterial small subunit ribosomal RNA", at positions 338 to 706 of the family's 1533-position model. The record is from RNAcentral.
CCUACGGGUGGCAGCAGUGAGGAAUAUUGGUCAAUGUGCGAGAGCCUGAACCAGCCAAGUCGCGUGAGGGAAGACGGUCCUAUGGAUUGUAAACCUCUUUUGUCGGGGAGCAAAAAGGCCUCGUGAGGCCACAAGUGAGAGUACCCGAAGCAAAAGCAUCGGCUAACUCCGUGCCCGCAGCCGCGGUAAUACGGAGGAUGCGAGCUUUAUCCGGAUUUAUUGGGUUUAACGGGUGCGUAGGGGGACUGGAAAGUCAGUGGUAAAAUCGAGAGGCUCCACCUCUUUCAGCCGUGGAAACUGGCGGUCGUGAGUGGGCGAGAAGUAUGCGGAAUGCGGGGUGUAGAGGUGAAAUGCAUAGAUAUCACGCAGAA